RNAcentral lists this ribosomal RNA (119 nucleotides) under Triticum aestivum (bread wheat). RNAcentral also lists the same sequence under 2 other names. Lineage: Eukaryota; Viridiplantae; Streptophyta; Magnoliopsida; Poales; Poaceae. The record is from RNAcentral.
GGAUGCGAUCAUACCAGCACUAAAGCACCGGAUCCCAUCAGAACUCCGAAGUUAAGCGUGCUUGGGCGAGAGUAGUACUAGGAUGGGUUCCCUCCUGGGAAGUCCUCGUGUUGCAUUCC